UCCCAGGUAGCUUAGCUGGUAAAGAAUCUGCCUGCAAUGCAGAAGACCCCAGUUUGAUUUCUGGGUUGGGAG
This 72-nucleotide transfer RNA is filed under the name Bos taurus (domestic cattle). It matches the Rfam family "tRNA". Rfam says of the family: Transfer RNA (tRNA) molecules are approximately 80 nucleotides in length. The record is from Rfam by way of RNAcentral. RNAcentral also lists the same sequence under 4 other names. Lineage: Eukaryota; Metazoa; Chordata; Mammalia; Artiodactyla; Bovidae.